Molecule: ribosomal RNA, 254 nt
Filed under: uncultured bacterium
Lineage: Bacteria
Description: partial 16S ribosomal RNA
Rfam family: Bacterial small subunit ribosomal RNA
Source: RNAcentral
UACGGGGGGAGCAAGCGUUGUUCGGAUUUACUGGGCGUAAAGGGCGCGUAGGCGGCCAGCACAAGUCAGUUGUGAAAUCUCCGAGCUUAACUCGGAAAGGUCAACUGAUACUGUGCGGCUAGAGUGCGGAAGGGGCAACUGGAAUUCUUGGUGUAGUGGUGAAAUGCGUAGAUAUCAAGAGGAACACCUGCGGCGAAGGCGGGUUGCUGGGCCGACACUGACGCUGAGGCGCGAAAGCCAGGGGAGCGAACGGG